This is an RNA transcript of Symphalangus syndactylus (siamang), 7179 nucleotides long. It is a transcript of the gene named transmembrane protein 78-like, with no coding region annotated. NCBI's taxonomy places the organism in Eukaryota, Metazoa, Chordata, Mammalia, Primates, Hylobatidae. The record is from RefSeq and is a predicted model, not a curated record.
GCCACAGAUUUUUCAUCCUGAGAUGCCCUUGGGUGCCUGCUAAUUGUUUUUCUUAGGUUGGCUGUUUUGCUCUUCAUCUUAAAAUAUUAACAUGUCGGGCGGGCGCAGUGGCUUAUGCCUAUAAUCCUAGCACUUUGGGAGGCUGAGGCAGGCGGAUCACCUGAGAUCAGGAGUUCGAGAUCAGCCUGGCCAACAUGGAGAAACCCCAUCUCUACUAAAAAUACAAAAAUUAGCCGGGCAUGGUGGUGUAUGCCUGCAAUCCCAGCUCCUCAGGAGGCUGAGACAGGAGAAUCACUUGAACCCAGGAGACGGAGGUUGCAGUGAGCCGAGAUCGCGCCACUGCAUUCCAGCAUGGGUGACAGAGCAAGACUCUGUCUCAAAAGAAAAAUGAUUAAGAUGUCAUGUCAAAGUAUUAACCUGCUGUUUUGAUAGAAAAAUAGCAAUGAGGAUGGCCUUGGUGGCUCGUGCCUGUAAUCCCAGCACUCUGGGAGGCCGACACAGGUGGGUCAUGAGGUCAGGAGAUCGAGACCAUCCUGGCCAACAUGGCGAAAUCCCAUCUCUACUAAAAACACAAAAAUUAGCCAGGUGUGGUGGUGUGUGCCUGUAGUCCCAGCUACUCAAGAGGCUGAGGCGGAGAAUCGCUUGAACCUGGGAGGCAGAGGUUGCAGUGAGCCGAGAUCACGCCAUUGCACUCCAGCCUGGAUGACAAGAGCAAAACUCCGUCUCAAAAAAAUUAAAUAAAUAAAUAAAUAAAAAAUAACAAUGAAGGCUGGGCAGGGUGACCCACGCCUGUAAUCCUAGCAUUUUGGGAGGCCGAGGCAGGCAGAUCACUUGAGCCCAGGAGUUUGAAACCAGCCUGGGCAACAUAUUGAGACCAUGUCUACAAAAAAUACAAAAAUUAGCUAGGCAUGGUGGCAUGCACCUGUAGACCUGUUGUUCCAGCUACUCAGGAGGCUGAGGCAAGAGGAUCACUUGAGCCCAGGGAGAUCAAGGCUGCAGUGAGCUGUGAUCGUGCCACUGCUCUCCAGGCCUGGGUGACAGAGUGAGACCCUGUCUCAAAACAAAACAAAAGACAGCGAUGAAAACAGGCUUCCAAUAAAAAAAUAAGAAAAGACUGCUAAUUUGUCAGGCUCAAAUAUCCCAUGUGUUCAGGGAGUAAGAGAAAUACUGUCCAUAAAAGCUCUGUACAGCCAAGAACAUCUGCAAAAUGAUUAUCACAGUUUGCCAUGGACUACAUGGAAGUGAAGUGACUUCAUUUUACCUUCACUCUCCUAGGUAGGAUAUAAACAAUUCUAUUACGAAACAUUUCCAGGAAAGUCUUCACACUGUCUCUCAGACAACCCUUUCUAGUAUUAAUGGAAAUAGAUAACACAUUUCAACCCAUGUUCAAAACUGGGCCUUCCAUCAUGUCUACACACAUUGGCCAUAUAUCUGUUACAGAAGGAAUAUUAUGCUUGUAUUCAGGCAAAAAUUGCUCCAAAAGCUAAUAUAUGUUGUAGUUAAGAUCUCAGCCCUGAUGCCAGAUUAUCUGAGUUUGAAUCCUUGUGUGAUCUCUCUAAAGCAUCUUUUCUCCUAUUUAAAUGGAUGUAAUAGUCGGGCACGGUGGCUCACCCCUAUAAUCCCAGCACUUUAGGAGGCCGAAGUGUCCAGAUCACUUGAGGUCAGGAGUUUGAGACCAACCUGGCCAACAUGGUGAAACCUUGUCUCUACUAAAAAUACAAAACAAAUUAGCCAGGUAUGGUGGUGGCCGCCUGUAAUCCCAGCUACUUGGGAGGCUGAGGCAGGAGAAUCACUCGAACCUGGGAGGCAGAGGUUGCAGUGAGUUGAGAUCGCGCCACUGCACUCCAGCCUGGGUGACAAGAGCAAAACUCUGUCUCAAUAAUAAUAAUAAUAAUAAUAAUAAUAAUAAUGGAAUGAAUAUUAGAAUACUAGCUUGAAUAAAUAAUAGAGCUUACAUUGGAAGUCUGAACAAACAGCAUAUUUACUUUGAAAAUGCUCUAAGCAGUAUGUCUGCAAGCAUAUGUAACCCACUGAGUAAAGCAGUUGUUAAGCAGAAAAUAAACAGAUUUUUAAUGAACCAUAUGGCAAUGAUAAAUGAAAAAUAAAUUGUAUAAGCGAAUGCAAAAAUAAAGAUCUAAGAAAAACAAAUAUGAGACAAGACUACUGCUUCUGGCCAUGAAGCAGUAACUGGUACUGGACUUGCCCUACUGCAAUAAACAACAGGACACUAGAGAAGAUAUAUGAAACAAUUGUUUCAGACUCUGAACAACAGACAAAGCAGAACUGUAACCCCCGAGAGAAGUGAAACAAGGCAAAACCCACGCUCACCCCAGCUUUCUUUCCAAAGCUGCUUUACAGAUUGUGAUACAGGAGGGGAACUCAGGCAGGGCGUGGCAGCUCAGGCAGGGCGUGGCAGCCGUGCUGCGUUGAUGAGACAGAGCAGAAGUAGGGAUGAGGGAGGGCAGCUGGAAUUUCCAGGGCAGGGUACCACAGAUGAGUAAGCUAGACAGAGCAAGAGCUAGAAAUCCACAUGGGAGCCCUCUUGCAUCUUUGGCUCAUGCACAACGUAAAACUCUGUGAGGCCAAGCAAAGAGCAUCUACUAGGAAACUGUAAGAGGAGCAGUCCCCAGAGAUCUGAGAGGUGUUCAGGUUCUGAACAGACAAAGCCUAAAGACCUCGAAAGGAUACUGUUCUGAAAACUUAUGUGAUUGUAGGAGUGGCAUCAUAUUAUUUGAAGGUACACUGAUAAACUGAAGAUGUAUUCCAUAAACCUACAGCAACGAUUGUUUUUUAAAAAGGAGUGUUAUUCGCCAAUGGAGGAGAUAAAAUGAAAUACUGAAAAAUACUCAACUAAUCCAAAAAGGCAGGAAAAGAAGAAAAAAAUAAAAACAUAUGGUAUAAAUAGAAAACAAAUAGCAAGACAGUAGAUUUAAACCUAACCGUAUCAGUAAUUAUACUAAAUGAAUAUGAAUUAAGCAUUCCAAUUAUAAAUCAAAGAUUAUCCAAUUGGGUAAUAAAGUAAGGUCUGACUCUCUGGUGUCUACAAGAAAUCCAUUUUAUACAGACACAAGAAUGUUAAAAGUAAAAGGACGGAAAAAGGUAAACAUGAGACAUAAGAAAGGUGGAUUGACUGUGUUCAUUUCUGGCAAAACACACUUUAGGACAAGAAAUAUUACCAGACAUAAGGAGGGACAUUUCACAAUGAUAAACUAUCAAGUCACUAAGAAAAAAUAACAUUCCUAAAUGUGAAUGCACCCAGUUGUAGAACUUCAAAAGACUUGAAGCGAAAACUGACAGAAUUUGAAAGGGGAAAAAGACAAAUCCAUAAUUUAAGUUGCAUAUUUCACCACUUUCUCUUGUAUUGAUAGAAAUAUCAGACAGAAAACUGGUAUGAAUACAGAAGACUUGAACAGCGCUAUCAACUAACUGGAUCCAAUUAACUUUUACAGAAUGCUCUACCCUGCAAUGGCAGACUAAACAGUGUUUUCAGUGCAGAUGGAACGUUCUUCAUAUGCUGGGCCAUGAAACUAGUCUCAAUAAAUCCAGCAGGAUUGAAAUCACAUACUGGGCUUCUCCAACAAAAUGCAAUUUAAUUAGAAAUCAGUAACUGAAACUGGAACUCUUCUACAUUGCUGGGUCUCACUAUGUUGCCCAUGCUGGUCUCGAACUCCUGACCUCAAGCAAUCCUCCCGCCUUGGCCUUGGAAAGUACUGGGAUUACAGAUGUGAGCCACUGCACCUGGCUAAAGAUGUGAGCCACCGCACCAUAAAGAAGGGUCUCACUAUGUUGCCCAUGCUAGUCUUGAACUCCUGACCUCAAGCAAUCCUCCCGCCUUGGCCUUGGAAAGUACUGGGAUUACAGAUGUGAGCCACCGCACCUGUAGUAGAUUGCCAGAUGAUACUUUGUCCUAUUGUUUUACCUGCUAACACCUCCUAAUGUCCUGCUGCUCCUCGGCACCACACCUGGAAACCAGAUCACCAAACUUAGGAGUUAGUUAGAAACAUGCUCGUGGAUGGUGGGAGAAAAUGUAAAAUGGUGCAGCCAUUAUGGAAAACAGUAUGGAAAGUCUUCAGAAAGUUAAAAAUGGAAUUACCACACGAUUCAGCAAUGACACUCCUGGAUAUAAACCUCCCUCACCCAUCCAAAAAAUUGAAAGGAAGAUCUUCAAUAUCUGAACAUCUAUUUUCACAUAACAUUAUUCACAAUAGCCAAAAGAUGGACACAGCCCAAGUGUCCAUCAGUGGACGAAUGGAUAAAGAAAAGGUGGUAUACCUAUGCAGUGGAAUAUUACUCAGCCUUGAAAAGGAAGGAAAUUCUGAUGUGCCACAUAGAUGAACCUUGAGAACACUAUGCUAUGUGAAAUAAGCCAGUCACAAAAGGACACAUACUGUGUAAUUACACUGAUAUGAGCAAACCUUUGGGAAAGUUUUCCUUGGCCCCUACAGUGUUGGCGUCACAACAGGAUCCUAAAGCUGCUCUACAUUUCUGGAAGCCACAGUCCAGGGAACCCAGGACCUGACAAAGCAUCAGAAGGCACCUGAGUCCACGGCUUUGGCAGCCAUAGUGAUCAUGAACCUCCAGCUAUGUCCUAGAGUCAUUUAUCUCCAAGGAUGUCAGGAGGAACCUCAAAAUGUCAUCAAGACACUGGCUACAGAAUCUCGCUCUGUCGCCCAGGAUGGAGUACAGUGGCGUGAUCUCGGCUUACUGCAACCUCUGCCUCCUGGUUUCAAGCGAUUCUCCUGCCUCAGCCUCCUGAGUAGCUGGGAUUACAGACACACACCACAACAUUCAGCUGAUUUUUGUAUUUGUAGAGACGGGGUUUCACCACGUUGGCCAGACUAAUCUCAAACUCCUGACCUCAAGUAAUCCACACGCCUCAGCCUCCCAAAGUGCUGGGAUUAUAGGUGUGAGACACUGGGCCUGGCCAGAAUGUAUUUUAGUAAAUGAGGUAUGUAUUUUAUUAAGUGAGGUAUGUACCUCAUUUAAUUUGUCAUGUGCAUAAGCAGUUAUCCAGCAUUAUUGAAGAGUCUGUUCUUUUCCUCCUGGUUUGUAAUGCCAGCUCUAGACAUACCAUAAUCAGUGAGUGGUUAUCACUCCUUUCUGUUUCAUUAGUCUCACACCCUUCAUCAGUUCCAUUUUACUCAAAUCACAAUAGUUUUCUAGAAAGUCUUGAUACCUGCAAGGCAAGUUUCUCUCCUUAUUCUUCUAAGUCAUUUGACUAUUUUUUACUGUGUUAGUCUCCUGUUGCUGUUAUAACAAAUUACCACAAACGUAGGGGCUGAAAACAAUACAAGUUUAUUCUCUUACAGUUCUGGAGGUCUGUGCUCCUCCUGGAGGCUCUUGGGAAGAAUCCAUGGCCCUGUCUUUUCCAGCUUCUAGAAGCUGCCUACAUUUCUGGGCUCGUGGCUCCUUCCCCCUGCUGCAAGGCAGCAGUGCAGCAUCUUCUGGUCUCUCUCUCUCUCUGCUCCUCUGGUCACAUAGCCUCUUUCUCACUCUGACCAUCCCACUUCCCUCUUAGAAGGACCCCAGUGAUUGGCCUACACAAUAAUCCAGGAUAAUCUCCUCAAGUCUCUUAAUUUAAUCACAUCUGAAAAGUCUCUUUUGCUAUUGUAAUGUAUCCACAGAUCCAGCCUUUAAGAGGUGGACAUUUUCAUGGGAGCCAUUAUUCAGUCACCACAUUGGCCUUUUACAAUUCACUGUGAGUUUUGAGAUGUUUGCUGGGUUCUAUGGAAAAAGAAGCCCUGUUAGGGUGUUGAUUGGAGUAGUAUUGAAUUUAUAGAUUGAUUUGGGAAUUGACGUCUUUAGAAUGCUGAGCUUUUCCAUUUAUAACAUGGUUUCUCUAUUUAGGCCUUCUUUUGUGCCCUUUAGUAAAGACUUAUAAUUUUUACUGUAAAAUUGUUGUAUAGCCUGUUAUGUUUAUUCCUAGGUGCUGUGUAUAUGUUUUGCUGUUAUGAAUAGGAUUUUUUACUAUUACAAUUUCUACUUGUUUUUUGUAGGUAUAUAGGAAUACUAUUAAAUUUUAAUUUACAUAUUUAUCUUUUAUUUAGCAACCUUAGUGAAUUUUAUUUUUCUUUCUAACAUUUUGUCUGCAGAUUCUUUUGAAUUUUGUAUAUGGACAUUUUAAUCUGUAAAUAAUGACAACUUAGUUUUUCUUGUUUUGUUUUUCUUAUCUUGUUGCACUAGCUAGGGACUUCAUUACAAUACUGAAUCAUGCUUCUAACUAUACUAAUAAGUAAGCUGGCUGCACACUGUCAAGUUUUGGGAGUUCCUAUCUGUAUUAGUCUGUUCUCACACUGCUAUAAAGAAAUACCUGAGACUGAGUAAUUUAUAAAUGGAAGAGGUUUAAUUGACUCAUGGCUGGGUUCCACAUGGCUGGGGAGGCCUCAGGAAACUUACAAUCAUGGCGGAAGGCAAAAAGGAAGAAAGCACCUUCUUCACAAGGCAACAGGAAAGGGCAUGUGUGAAGGAGAAAUUGUCAAACACCUACAAAACCGUCAGAUCUCGUGAGAACUCCUCACUCUCAUGAGAACAGCAUGGGGGAAACACCCCCAUGAUUCAAUCAUCUCCCACCAAGUCCUUCCCUCGACAUGUGGGGAUUAUGGGGAUUACAAUGCAAGCUGAGAUUUGGGUGGGGGACACAGCCAAACCAUAUCACCAUCUAUUCUUGGUUUGCCAAGAAGUUUGUCUUGUAAAUGUUUUGACAACAAGAAAGGGUGUUGAACCAUAGCUAAUGAUUUUCUGCAUCAAGUGAAAUAUGUUUUAUUUCUCUUUUUAUAUGUUAAUCUGUUAAUGUGUAUUCCUAGGAUAACCCUAGUUGAUCAUACUGUAAUAUUUUUAAUAUAUAUAGCUGGAUUUAGUUUAGUAGCAAUUUAUUUAGAUCUUUUGUAUAUUAGUUUAUCAAUUAGAUUAGCAUAUACAUUUUCUUUUAUACUGGAAUUUCCUAAUUUUACUACAAAUGUUAUACAAAUCUCAUAAAAUAAGUUAGGUUUCUUUUACUAUUUUCUGUAACUGUUUUUUUUCUAAGACUGGAAUCCAUACCUUGAAAUGUGAUAGCACUUGCUUGUAAAGCUGAAUGACCCUGGUGUUAUUUUGUAUAAUUAACUUUUGUAAAUGGUUAUACUGUUCACGGUUUCUCUUUUCCCUUGAGUUGGCUUGGAAAUUUAUGAUUUUCUAGAAAAA